GGGAAUGUGUCAAAGAGACAACAACCCGACCAUAGAAAAAACAACAGCAGAAGGUCACCAACAGGUCUUCAAUGUAGCGAGAAAUUCCCGCACCCGGAGAGGUCCUUCAGCUGGCCCCUAAACAAAUAUAUACUAGUUCAGUGAUAAUGAACGCCAUACUAAUUUCCAAAUUGUACACAAGAAACUAAAAUUAAAAUAAUACAAGACUAACAAAGGCCAGAGGCUCCUGACUUGGGACAGGCGCAAAAAUGCGGCGGGGUUAAACAUGUUUGUGAGAUCUCAACCCUCCCCCAUACCUCUAGCCAAUGUAGAAAAGUAAACGCAUAACAAUACGCACAUUAAAACUCAGUUCAAGAGAAGUCCGAGU
Molecule: long non-coding RNA, 367 nt
Filed under: Mytilus galloprovincialis (Mediterranean mussel)
Lineage: Eukaryota; Metazoa; Mollusca; Bivalvia; Mytilida; Mytilidae
Source: RNAcentral